RNAcentral lists this ribosomal RNA (645 nucleotides) under uncultured Actinomycetes bacterium. RNAcentral describes it as "bacterial SSU rRNA". It matches the Rfam family "Bacterial small subunit ribosomal RNA", at positions 232 to 885 of the family's 1533-position model. The record is from RNAcentral. Lineage: Bacteria; Bacillati; Actinomycetota; Actinomycetes.
CGCGGCCUAUCAGCUUGUUGGUGAGGUAACGGCUCACCAAGGCAACAACGGGUAGCUGGUCUGAGAGGACGAUCAGCCACACUGGGACUGAGACACGGCCCAGACUCCUACGGGAGGCAGCAGCAGGGAAUAUUGCACAAUGGGCGAAAGCCUGAUGCAGCGACGCCGCGUGAGGGAUGAAUGCCUUCGGGUUGUAAACCUCUUUCAGGAGGGAAGAAGCGAAAGUGACGGUACCUCCAGAAGAAGACCCGGCCAACUACGUGCCAGCAGCCGCGGUAAUACGUAGGGGUCAAGCGUUGUCCGGAUUCAUUGGGCGUAAAGAGCUCGUAGGCGGCUCAGCAAGUCGGUCGUGAAAGCCCGGGGCUCAACCCCGGGACGCCGAUCGAAACUGCUGUGGCUAGGGUUCGGUAGAGGAGAGUGGAAUUCCCGGUGUAGCGGUGAAAUGCGCAGAUAUCGGGAGGAACACCAGUAGCGAAGGCGGCUCUCUGGGCCGACACCGACGCUGAGGAGCGAAAGCUAGGGGAGCAAACAGGAUUAGAUACCCUGGUAGUCCUAGCCGUAAACGUUGGGCACUAGGUGUGGCGGACUCAUUGACGUCUGCCGUGCCGCAGCUAACGCAUUAAGUGCCCCGCCUGGGGAGUACGG